GCCCAGCUUGCUGGGCGGAUUAGUGGCGAACGGGUGAGUAAUACGUGAGUAACCUGCCCUUGACUCUGGGAUAAGCCUGGGAAACUGGGUCUAAUACUGGAUACUACCUCUUGCCGCAUGGUGGGUGGUGGAAAGGGUUUUACUGGUUUUGGAUGGGCUCACGGCCUAUCAGCUUGUUGGUGGGGUAAUGGCUCACCAAGGCGACGACGGGUAGCCGGCCUGAGAGGGUGACCGGCCACACUGGGACUGAGACACGGCCCAGACUCCUACGGGAGGCAGCAGUGGGGAAUAUUGCACAAUGGGCGGAAGCCUGAUGCAGCGACGCCGCGUGAGGGAUGACGGCCUUCGGGUUGUAAACCUCUUUCAGUAGGGAAGAAGCGAGAGUGACGGUACCUGCAGAAGAAGCGCCGGCUAACUACGUGCCAGCAGCCGCGGUAAUACGUAGGGCGCAAGCGUUGUCCGGAAUUAUUGGGCGUAAAGAGCUCGUAGGCGGUUUGUCGCGUCUGCUGUGAAAGCCCGGGGCUCAACCCCGGGUCUGCAGUGGGUACGGGCAGACUAGAGUGCAGUAGGGGAGACUGGAAUUCCUGGUGUAGCGGUGAAAUGCGCAGAUAUCAGGAGGAACACCGAUGGCGAAGGCAGGUCUCUGGGCUGUUACUGACGCUGAGGAGCGAAAGCAUGGGGAGCGAACAGGAUUAGAUACCCUGGUAGUCCAUGCCGUAAACGUUGGGCACUAGGUGUGGGGGACAUUCCACGUUUUCCGCGCCGUAGCUAACGCAUUAAGUGCCCCGCCUGGGGAGUACGGCCGCAAGGCUAAAACUCAAAGGAAUUGACGGGGGCCCGCACAAGCGGCGGAGCAUGCGGAUUAAUUCGAUGCAACGCGAAGAACCUUACCAAGGCUUGACAUUCACCGGACCGCCCCAGAGAUGGGGUUUCCCUUCGGGGCUGGUGGACAGGUGGUGCAUGGUUGUCGUCAGCUCGUGUCGUGAGAUGUUGGGUUAAGUCCCGCAACGAGCGCAACCCUCGUUCUAUGUUGCCAGCACGUGAUGGUGGGGACUCAUAGGAGACUGCCGGGGUCAACUCGGAGGAAGGUGGGGAUGACGUCAAAUCAUCAUGCCCCUUAUGUCUUGGGCUUCACGCAUGCUACAAUGGCCGGUACAAAGGGUUGCGAUACUGUGAGGUGGAGCUAAUCCCAAAAAGCCGGUCUCAGUUCGGAUUGAGGUCUGCAACUCGACCUCAUGAAGUCGGAGUCGCUAGUAAUCGCAGAUCAGCAACGCUGCGGUGAAUACGUUCCCGGGCCUUGUACACACCGCCCGUCAAGUCACGAAAGUUGGUAACACCCGAAGCC
RNAcentral lists this ribosomal RNA (1345 nucleotides) under Kocuria rosea. RNAcentral describes it as "bacterial SSU rRNA". It matches the Rfam family "Bacterial small subunit ribosomal RNA", at positions 73 to 1428 of the family's 1533-position model. Lineage: Bacteria; Bacillati; Actinomycetota; Actinomycetes; Micrococcales; Micrococcaceae. The record is from RNAcentral.